CAGAGUUCGGGGAUUUUCUCUGCCGGGACUAUGUUUCGGUCUUUUCUUAAUAUAAUACCGGGAGGACGGUUUUUCCCUCCCCGGCCGAGUUUUUUAUAUCUUCAAUGUUAGUAACGUUUGAACAAAAAUAUUUAGUCAUGUGUAUUAUACUACAGUCUAGGCAGCUAGGGGCAUUAGAAAGAGUUAUCUCUUCUCUAGGUUAUUUGUUAUUAAAAGUA
Molecule: long non-coding RNA, 218 nt
Filed under: Zea mays
Lineage: Eukaryota; Viridiplantae; Streptophyta; Magnoliopsida; Poales; Poaceae
Description: long non-coding RNA (ZMAY_LNC001163)
Source: RNAcentral